AACGAACGCUGGCGGCGUGGAUAAGACAUGCAAGUCGAGCGAGAUUUUUUUCUGUAGCAAUACAGGAAGAAGUCUAGCGGCGAACGGGUGCUUAACACGUGGGCAAUCUGUCGUAAAGUGGGGGAUAGCUCGGCGAAAGCCGAAUUAAUACCGCAUGUGAUUAGAGUGGACAUCCAUUCAAAAUCAAAGUCGGGGCAACCUGACGCUUUUUGAGGAGCCCGCGGCCUAUCAGCUUGUUGGUGAGGUAACGGCCCACCAAGGCUUUGACGGGUAGCUGGUCUGAGAGGACGACCAGCCACACUGGGACUGAGACACGGCCCAGACACCUACGGGUGGCAGCAGUCGAGAAUUUUUCUCAAUGGGGGAAACCCUGAAGGAGCGACGCCGCGUGGAGGAUGAAGGUCUUCGGGUUGUAAACUCCUGUCAUUUGGGAACAAGGCGUAUGUAUUAACUGUACGUGCGUUGAUAGUACCAGAAGAGGAAGAGACGGCUAACUCUGUGCCAGCAGCCGCGGUAAUACAGAGGUCUCAAGCGUUGUUCGGAUUCAUUGGGCGUAAAGGGUGCGUAGGCGGCGCGGUAAGUCGGGUGUGAAAU
Molecule: ribosomal RNA, 594 nt
Filed under: uncultured Verrucomicrobiota bacterium
Lineage: Bacteria; Pseudomonadati; Verrucomicrobiota
Description: bacterial SSU rRNA
Rfam family: Bacterial small subunit ribosomal RNA
Source: RNAcentral